Molecule: ribosomal RNA, 497 nt
Filed under: uncultured bacterium
Lineage: Bacteria
Description: partial 16S ribosomal RNA
Rfam family: Bacterial small subunit ribosomal RNA
Source: RNAcentral
GAUGAACGCUGGCGGCGUGCCUAAUACAUGCAAGUCGAGCGAACGGACGAGAAGCUUGCUUCUCUGAUGUUAGCGGCGGACGGGUGAGUAACACGUGGAUAACCUACCUAUAAGACUGGGAUAACUUCGGGAAACCGGAGCUAAUACCGGAUAAUAUUUUGAACCGCAUGGUUCAAAAGUGAAAGACGUUCUUGCUGUCACUUAUAGAUGGAUCCGCGCUGCAUUAGCUAGUUGGUAAGGUAACGGCUUACCAAGGCAACGAUGCAUAGCCGACCUGAGAGGGUGAUCUGCCACACUGGAACUGAGACACGGUCCAGACUCCUACGGGAGGCAGCAGUAGGGAAUCUUCCGCAAUGGGCGAAAGCCUGACGGAGCAACGCCGCGUGAGUGAUGAAGGUCUUCGGAUCGUAAAACUCUGUUAUUAGGGAAGAACAUAUGUGUAAGUAACUGUGCACAUCUUGACGGUACCUAAUCAGAAAGCCACGGCUAACUACGUG